CAAUAGUUUGGCUCGACCGGAGAGAAAAGAUGCAGAGAAACACAAAUUCAACAGAGUUCAUAGUUGUGGCAGUGGUUCCAAUCUACCUACCAUUUAAAAACGCAGAGGAAAAAAAUGCUCCUUUUCAAUUAAACCUGUGAGGAAAUGCAGAAAAUUCUCAUCCACCAAAUUUCAAAGAACUUGAACCUAUUACUGUGGCUACUUCUUAAUUUAUAUAUCAAAGCAUGUCAAGUUUCCUGUACAAUAAAAACAAAGAGAAAUCAUAAUAUAUCAACUAGAAAUAAGGGUAAGUUUCCAGUAGCAGAGGCAUCAUUAUAGGGAUUGAAAACAUUAUAAAUUUAGCUUUUUUUUUACUUAAAAUUGAAAAUCAUCACCUAUAUUGUAACCUACAAAUUUAUAGAUUUACACUUUUUCAUGUGGCAAAGAUGAUCAACAAUCUAUGUCUAAAAUCACACAAAGAUAGAACAACCUAAUCUAAUAUAUGGCAAGAAGAUAAUUUAAACAUGGAUUAAAAUUAACAACUUCAAUUUUUAUCUUUAAAUAUUUCCUCAUAUACAUUCACAAACCACAACAAGCAAGUGAGGGUGUUUCAAAUUCUUAAUCAUCAAAUAAUUAUCUUCAUUUAAAAAAUAAAUUACCUAGAAUGAACACACCUCAGAAUAAACAAUAUUAAGCAAUUGAAAACAAAUAAAUGAUACCUAUAUUGGAUAUCACACUAAAAUCCAAAAUCAAAUGAAUUGAAAAAUCAAGGAGGUGGAAAGAUUAUAGCUUAUGGGCCUUGUAAAUUUGCAACAUUGAACUGAAAGGAAGGUUAAAUUAAUUGAAAAAUCAAGAAACCAAAGCAUCAGGGUUUCAAAUCAAACUUGUGUACGAGGGAUGAACGUCGUCGUCGUGAGUGAAGGGAUUGGCAAAAAGAUCCUUUGCGUGAUAGUUUCUUACUUUCUUUCUUUCUGUCAAUGAAAGGCAUCGAAGAAGGGGUGAGGGCGACAAAUUUGGUGUUCGAGCGUGUUUGAUAGAGGUGUUAAUAACAACAAUUUAGGGCUUGAAGGAGAGAAAACGAAGGAUAUAGGGUUCGAUUGUGAGGUGAUGGGUCGAAACGAAGAACAUAGGGUUCAAUAGAGACGACGAGAUCGGCAGACCUCGACUGCCUCUGUAUGAGUCUUUUCGCUAAUAUGCGCAACAGUAAGACGACAACGAUGGAGGUUUGACGGAGAUGAAUGGCUCUGUGGUUAUUUUUUUUAAAAUCCGGAAUUGAAUAAUGC
This 1262-nucleotide long non-coding RNA is filed under the name Trifolium pratense (red clover). RNAcentral's name for it is "long non-coding RNA (TPRA_LNC005877)". The record is from RNAcentral. Lineage: Eukaryota; Viridiplantae; Streptophyta; Magnoliopsida; Fabales; Fabaceae.